GGGGAUGAUUUGAUUCGACAGGGGCAUAGAUAGCGACAUGUGCGCCACGGGAGCGAGCGUCUCCCAUAUCAACACUCAAAUUCUAAGUGCGAACAAAGUAGCACGGGCAAUCUUGUCACCUAUACAGGUGGCAGACUUGCAGCCCGCUUACGCUCUCGUAGCCUAAGCGCCGUCCACGAAGCCGAUGCUUGAUUAAGCUUCGCUGGGCGUAAGAAAAUUCAAGUACUGAUGCGCAGGGCCCUCUGCGUAUCUAAGACUUCGGGCUCGGCAAUGCAUUAUUCUGUUUAUCUUACAGAUGCAAAGCUUAAAUCCGCUUCGGCGGGCCAAGAUAUCCAACGCGGCGUAGUAUCAUCCGAAAUCUAUCUCUUGGACGGGAGCUCACUACUCCCCAUCUCCACAC
RNAcentral lists this transfer-messenger RNA (400 nucleotides) under bacterium. It matches the Rfam family "transfer-messenger RNA". From Rfam's summary of the family: Bacterial tmRNA, also known as 10Sa RNA or SsrA, is named for its dual tRNA and mRNA-like properties. The record is from RNAcentral.